RNAcentral lists this ribosomal RNA (273 nucleotides) under Triticum aestivum (bread wheat). Its description in RNAcentral is "partial small subunit ribosomal RNA". Lineage: Eukaryota; Viridiplantae; Streptophyta; Magnoliopsida; Poales; Poaceae. The record is from RNAcentral.
AUGAAGAGCACCAAGCUCGCGGCGAUCCUGAUCCUCCAGGCCGUCCUGGUCAUGGGGAUCCUCUCACACGUGAACGCCGACUAUUUCCCCAAGUGCUGCAACAACUGCAGGUCCUUCUCGGGGGUCGACGUCUGCGACGACGCCCACCCCCAGUGCCCCAAGGGCUGCUCGGCCUGCCGCGUGGUGACGCCGAGCCCUCACAAGACGUUCCGGUGCGCCGACAUGAAGAGCACCGUCGAUGGCACCUGCGGCGGGCCAUGCAAGAAGCACUGA